CCCAGACUCCUACGGGAGGCAGCAGUGGGGAAUAUUGCACAAUGGGGGAAACCCUGAUGCAGCGACGCCGCGUGAGUGAAGAAGUAUUUCGGUAUGUAAAGCUCUCUCAGCAGGGAAGAUAAUGACGGUACCUGACUAAGAAGCCCCGGCUAACUACGUGCCAGCAGCCGCGGUAAUACGUAGGGGGCAAGCGUUAUCCGGAUUUACUGGGUGUAAAGGGUGCGCAGGUGGCAGGGCAAGUCAGAUGUGAAAGCCCGGGGCUCAACCCCGGUAUUGCAUUUGAAACUGUCCGGCUAGAGUGCAGGAGAGGUAAGCGGAAUUCCUAGUGUAGCGGUGAAAUGCGUAGAUAUUAGGAGGAACACCAGUGGCGAAGGCGGCUUACUGGACUGUAACUGACACUGAGGCACGAAAGCGUGGGGAGCAAACAGGAUUAGAUACCCGAGUACU
Molecule: ribosomal RNA, 447 nt
Filed under: uncultured bacterium
Lineage: Bacteria
Description: bacterial SSU rRNA
Rfam family: Bacterial small subunit ribosomal RNA
Source: RNAcentral